Molecule: small nuclear RNA, 105 nt
Filed under: Octopus sinensis (East Asian common octopus)
Lineage: Eukaryota; Metazoa; Mollusca; Cephalopoda; Octopoda; Octopodidae
Source: RNAcentral
UAUUGCUUCGGCAAUACAUAUACUAAAAUUGGAACGAUACAGAGAAGAUUAGCGUGGCACCUGCGCAAGGAUGACACGCACAUUCGUGAAGCGUUCCAAAUUUUU